CUGAUCCAGAGAGGAGGUUAUCCUCUGCAGGCUCCUGUGAAAGAGCACACUGUUCUCACAGUGCUGGAGCAGAGUCCAGCCAUGAUGUCAUCCCAGCUCCACAAGAGGUCUGAAGGCCCAGCAUCUCUCCUCCACCUGC
RNAcentral lists this long non-coding RNA (139 nucleotides) under Coturnix japonica (Japanese quail). RNAcentral's name for it is "lncRNA (ENSCJPG00005000967.1)". The record is from RNAcentral. Lineage: Eukaryota; Metazoa; Chordata; Aves; Galliformes; Phasianidae.